GUGCAUGUGGUGGAUGCCUUGGCAGUCAGAGGCGAUGAAAGACGUGAUAGCCUGCGAAAAGCUCCGGGGAGGCGGCAAAUAUCCUUUGAUCCGGAGAUGUCUGAAUGGGGGAACCCACCUACUUUAAGGUAGGUAUUGCAACAUGAAUACAUAGUGUUGCAAGGCGAACGAGGGGAAGUGAAACAUCUCAGUACCCUUAGGAAAAGAAAUCAAUUGAGAUUCCCUCAGUAGCGGCGAGCGAACGGGGAUCAGCCCAUUAAGUUAUGUGUGUUUUAGUGGAACGCUCUGGGAAGUGCGAACGUAGAGGGUGAUAUUCCCGUACACGAAAGGGCACACAUAAUGAUGACGAGUAGGGCGAGGCACGUGAAACCUUGUCUGAAUAUGGGGGGACCAUCCUCCAAGGCUAAAUACUCCUGACUGACCGAUAGUGAACCAGUACCGUGAGGGAAAGGCGAAAAGAACCCCUGUGAGGGGAGUGAAAUAGAUCCUGAAACCGCAUGCAUACAAGCAGUGGGAGCACCUUCGUGGUGUGACUGCGUACCUUUUGUAUAAUGGGUCAGCGACUUAUAUUCAGUAGCGAGGUUAACCGUAUAGGGGAGCCGUAGAGAAAUCGAGUCUUAAUAGGGCGUUUAGUUGCUGGGUAUAGACCCGAAACCAGGCGAUCUAUCCAUGAGCAGGUUGAAGGUUGGGUAACACUAACUGGAGGACCGAACCCACUGUCGUUGAAAAGCCAGGGGAUGACUUGUGGAUAGGGGUGAAAGGCUAAUCAAGCCUGGUGAUAGCUGGUUCUCCCCGAAAGCUAUUUAGGUAGCGCCUCGGACGAAUACCAUAGGGGGUAGAGCACUGUUUCGGCUAGGGGGUCAUCCCGACUUACCAAACCGAUGCAAACUCCGAAUACCUAUGAGUACUAUCCGGGAGACAGACUGCGGGUGCUAACGUCCGUAGUCAAGAGGAAAACAAUCCAGACCGCCAGCUAAGGCCCCAAAAUCAUAGUUAAGUGGGAAACGAUGUGGGAAGGCAUAGACAGCUAGGAGGUUGGCUUAGAAGCAGCCACCCUUUAAAGAAAGCGUAAUAGCUCACUAGUCGAGUCGGCCUGCGCGGAAGAUGUAACGGGGCUAAAACUAUGUGCCGAAGCUGCGGAUGUAUACUUUGUAUACGUGGUAGGGGAGCGUUCUGUAAGCCGAUGAAGGUGUGUUGAGAAGCAUGCUGGAGGUAUCAGAAGUGCGAAUGCUGACGUGAGUAACGACAAAACGGGUGAAAAACCCGUUCGCCGAAAGACCAAGGGUUCCAGUCCAACGUUAAUCGGGGCUGGGUGAGUCGACCCCUAAGGCGAGGCCGAAAGGCGUAGUCGAUGGGAAAAUGGUUAAUAUUCCAUUACUUCUGUGUAAUGCGAUGAGAGGACGGAGAAGGCUAAAUCAGCCUGGCGUUGGUUGUCCAGGUGAAAGGAUGUAGGCAUGUAUCUUAGGCAAAUCCGGGGUACUCUAUGCUGAGAUCUGAUAGCAAGCUGUACUUGUACAGCGAAGUGGUUGAUGCCAUGCUUCCAGGAAAAGUCUCUAAGCUUCAGUUACACAGGAAUCGUACCCGAAACCGACACAGGUGGUCAGGUCGAGUAGACCAAGGCGCUUGAGAGAACUCUGCUGAAGGAACUAGGCAAAAUGGUACCGUAACUUCGGGAGAAGGUACGCUGUUGUUGGUGAUGGAACUCGCUUCCUGAGCUGACGACAGCCGCAGAAACCAGGCCGCUGCAACUGUUUAUUAAAAACAUAGCACUCUGCAAACACGAAAGUGGACGUAUAGGGUGUGAUGCCUGCCCGGUGCUGGAAGGUUAAUUGAUGGGGUUAGCGUAAGCGAAGCUCUUGAUCGAAGCCCCAGUAAACGGCGGCCGUAACUAUAACGGUCCUAAGGUAGCGAAAUUCCUUGUCGGGUAAGUUCCGACCUGCACGAAUGGCAUAAUGAUGGCGGCGCUGUCUCCAGCAGAGGCUCAGUGAAAUCGAAAUCGCUGUGAAGAUGCAGUGUACCCGCGGCUAGACGGAAAGACCCCGUGAACCUUUACUGCAGCUUGACACUGAACUUUGACCUUACUUGUGUAGGAUAGGUGGGAGGCUUUGAAGCUGGAACGCUAGUUCCAGUGGAGCCGUCCUUGAAAUACCACCCUGGUAAUGUUGAGGUUCUAACUCUGUCCCGUGAUCCGGGACGAGGACCGUGUCUGGUGGGUAGUUUGACUGGGGCGGUCUCCUCCUAAAGAGUAACGGAGGAGUACGAAGGUGCGCUCAGCGUGGUCGGAAAUCACGCGUAGAGUAUAAAGGCAAAAGCGCGCUUAACUGCGAGACCCACAAGUCGAGCAGGUACGAAAGUAGGUCUUAGUGAUCCGGUGGUUCUGUAUGGAAGGGCCAUCGCUCAACGGAUAAAAGGUACUCUGGGGAUAACAGGCUGAUACCGCCCAAGAGUUCAUAUCGACGGCGGUGUUUGGCACCUCGAUGUCGGCUCAUCUCAUCCUGGGGCUGAAGCAGGUCCCAAGGGUAUGGCUGUUCGCCAUUUAAAGAGGUACGCGAGCUGGGUUUAGAACGUCGUGAGACAGUUCGGUCCCUAUCUACCGUGGGCGCUGGAAAUUUGAGAGGAUCUGCUCCUAGUACGAGAGGACCAGAGUGGACGAACCUCUGGUGUACCGGUUGUGACGCCAGUCGCAUCGCCGGGUAGCUAUGUUCGGAAGGGAUAACCGCUGAAAGCAUCUAAGCGGGAAGCCUACCUCAAGAUAAGAUUUCCCUAGGACUUUAUGUCCUCUAAAGAGCCGUUCGAGACUAGGACGUUGAUAGGUUGGAUGUGGAAGCAUAGUGAUAUGUGAAGCUGACCAAUACUAAUUGCUCGUGAGGCUUGACUA
RNAcentral lists this ribosomal RNA (2878 nucleotides) under Acinetobacter baumannii 24975_7. RNAcentral's name for it is "bacterial LSU rRNA". It matches the Rfam family "Bacterial large subunit ribosomal RNA". The record is from RNAcentral. Lineage: Bacteria; Pseudomonadati; Pseudomonadota; Gammaproteobacteria; Moraxellales; Moraxellaceae.